This is a non-coding RNA of Gasterosteus aculeatus aculeatus (three-spined stickleback), 1283 nucleotides long. The record is from RefSeq and is a predicted model, not a curated record. Lineage: Eukaryota; Metazoa; Chordata; Actinopteri; Perciformes; Gasterosteidae.
UCCUCGGCGCGGACAAGCCCCUCCUCCUUCCUCCUUCAUCCUCCUCCUCCUCGGUGCUCGUGCAGUGUUGAGCGCCGAACGCCUGCAGCAUCGGACAAACAGGCGAUGACGUCAUUUGGUGAUAAAUUAACCGCAACAUUAGCGCCACUGAAAACAUUACGUCGCAGCUUUGCGUGAUUUCGAAGCUUUGUCGAGCUGUUUACACAGAGAAAGAGAAGAGAGAAGUGAAAUUUUAAGCGUGCAGAUCAUCCAGUCAUUUCAACAGGGUGGAAAUGGACUCCGCGUUCUUGCAUCAGUGCGUCCAUCAAACAGGUUGGAUGUCCAGUGUCUCUCUGAAUAGUCCAACGCUGUCCUCUGCAGUCUGACGGGCUCACCUUCGCCCUCUGAGCCUCCUCCGUCUUGUUCUCACUGGAAAUGUGUAAUUUAGCCACUUUGCGUUAGAAGCAAACAGGAGACUCCCACACACUCUUCCGUCGACCCGGAGAUGACCGGGCUACAUGAGAGGCUUUUCCAGGAAGUGUUAUUGGAUAUUUUGGACACUCAACUCAAAAGGAGUGGGAGCGUCCACUGAGAAAACGAAGAAUGUUCCCCUUUCACCUCGUUUCCUCCCCAGAGUUGCAGCUAUGCAACAGAUAUCGGACGUGUGAACUGAAUUUAAGGGCGAAUUAAGGAAAACAUGUCCCCAAUUCUUUGCGUUUGGAUCGAUAGUAUUAGACUUUAAGCUAAACUAAACUAAUGGCCUGGUUAUGAUUUUCUCACAUGCUUUUUGUGUAUUGUAUGUGUAUGUAAGAGCUCGCUAUUUGAGACUAUUCACAACAUCUCUUCUGUUUCUCCUCCUGUUUUUCUGCAUCACUGACUUUUUGGGUGACGGUUGAAAUACGAUCCGCUAUUUAGUUUCUCUGCAAUGCAACUCCCACAUGAAAGCGCCGCGUCGGCCUCUUAAUACGUUUGCCAAAUUCCCACUGCGCAUUGAAGCGAAUGAUUGGGACACAAUCGUAGCAGACUUUGGAAAUACAUGUAACGUGUUAAGUUAUUUGCCGUGUGUGCUUUAAAGACACUCUGUCCUUCGACUCUGCACGUUAAGAUAAAAGAAACAUAAAAACUAACUGGGAGACGAUCCCGUAUACGUCACCUCUGGGCAAACAAGAAAUGUUCGCCCAUUUCCCUCCAUCCGUUUCAUUCUCAGGAGGCAUUAUUCAAAAGGUGCGAGUUCAGUGAAAGCAGCAACACGAGGCUCAGUCCACUUUUCAAGACUUUUAAUAAAACUUUUAAAACAUUUGUGA